UGGCUCAGACGAACGCUGGCGGCGUGCUUAAUACAUGCAAGUCGUACGAAUUGAUUAAGGAGCUGCUCCUUAUGACGUUAGUGGCGACGGGUGAGUAACACGUGGGUAACCUACCUUCAAGAGGGGGAUAACAUCCGGAAACGGGUGCUAAUACCGCAUAGUUUCAGCUUCCGCAUGGAAGCCGAAGGAAAGACGGCCUUUGUGCUGUCACUUGGAGAUGGACCCGCGGCGCAUUAGUUAGUUGGUAGGGUAACGGCCUACCAAGACGAUGAUGCGUAGCCGACCUGAGAGGGUGAUCGGCCACAUUGGGACUGAGACACGGCCCAAACUCCUACGGGAGGCAGCAGUAGGGAAUCUUCCGCAAUGGACGAAAGUCUGACGGAGCAACGCCGCGUGAGUGAAGAAGGUUUUCGGAUCGUAAAACUCUGUUGUUGGAGAAGAACAAGUAGGAGAGUAACUACUCUUACCUUGACGGUACCCAACCAGAAAGCCACGGCUAACUACGUGCCAGCAGCCGCGGUAAUACGUAGGUGGCAAGCGUUGUCCGGAUUUAUUGGGCGUAAAGCGAGCGCAGGCGGUUUCUUAAGUCUGAUGUGAAAGCCCACGGCUCAACCGUGGAAGGUCAUUGGAAACUGGGGAACUUGAAUGCAGAAGAGGAGAGUGGAAUUCCAUGUGUAGCGGUGAAAUGCGUAGAUAUAUGGAGGAACACCAGUGGCGAAGGCGACUCUCUGGUCUGUAAUUGACGCUGAGGC
RNAcentral lists this ribosomal RNA (752 nucleotides) under uncultured feedlot manure bacterium A77. RNAcentral's name for it is "bacterial SSU rRNA". It matches the Rfam family "Bacterial small subunit ribosomal RNA", at positions 20 to 752 of the family's 1533-position model. Lineage: Bacteria; Bacillati; Bacillota. The record is from RNAcentral.